CAGUAAGUAGUUUAAUUUAAAAUAUUAAUUUUGGGGAUUAAUGAUAAGCUAUGCUUUUUACUGA
RNAcentral lists this transfer RNA (64 nucleotides) under Coleoptera sp. 3 KM-2017. RNAcentral's name for it is "tRNA-Pro". The record is from RNAcentral. Lineage: Eukaryota; Metazoa; Arthropoda; Insecta; Coleoptera.